UUCCACUCUCACAAUUCUAGGUCUACCUCAUUUCAAAACUCUCAGCCUUUAAUAAACCUCUUCAUUACUCUCAACAGCAAAACUGAUGAGAAGUCUAACAAAUACUCAAAGAAAAUAUAAUAGUAUCCUCCUCUCUUAACUGACACAUCUUGAAGACUCUUAAAAGUUCAUUUCUUUUGUUGGUAACAGACACAUUGUUGAACUCAAUCUCACGAUUCUGCCACUACCACAUUUCAAAACUCUGAAAGCCUUAAUUAACGCUCUUCCUCAGACUCAACUGAAUCAGCCUGCUCACGCUCUACCCCCAUCUUCUUCGCUGCCCCUGUUCCUCCGCCUUCCACAGCCUUUUAAAUUCCAAGGUACAUCAUCCACACCAUGCAAACUCGACCAAAUAUUACAGUUACAGACACUAUAAUCAAAUCUAGUGAUUGAUACAAACCAAAUAUACAACACAAAAAAGGUAAAGGAAGAUAAUUUAACUUACUUUAGAAAUAAGGAGUCCAUGCAGUAACUAAUCAAGCCAACAGCAAGACU
Molecule: long non-coding RNA, 534 nt
Filed under: Trifolium pratense (red clover)
Lineage: Eukaryota; Viridiplantae; Streptophyta; Magnoliopsida; Fabales; Fabaceae
Description: long non-coding RNA (TPRA_LNC009890)
Source: RNAcentral